GGUGUUGGUGGUGGUGUUUUUGGAUGCUCGUAUGAUGGUGUUGGUGGUGGUGGUGAUGGUGUUUUUGGAUGUUCGUAUGAUGGUGUUGGUGGUGGUGUUUUAGGAUGCUCGUAUGAUGGUGUUGGUGGUGAUGCGGUUUUUGGAUGUUCGUAUGAUGGUGUUGGUGGUGGUGGUGAUGGGGUUUUUGGGUGUUCAUAUGACGGUGUUGGCGGUGGUGGUGAUUUAGGCUUGUAAGUAGGUGGCUCGUAAUACACCGGGGGUGGUGGAGAAUAAUAAACUGGUGGUGGUGGGGACGAUGGAGAUGGGUGGUAAUAUACGGGUGAGGGUGGAGGAGGUGAAUGAUGAGUUACAGGUGAAAUUUUGUGAGUAGGUGGUGGUGGACUUCUAUGUCGAUACGCUGGGGACUUUUUGUAAGGUGCUGGUGGAGGAAGAGGAGUUGAUUUAGGUGGUGGCGGAGAUCGCUUGUUAUGCGAACCCGAAGACUUCCAAGUAGGUGGUGGUGGUCCUCUUGGUUUUGGUGUUGGUGUUGGCUUUGGUUUCGUCGAAGGAGACGUAGCAUAUGGGCUAUAACACUUCGAUUUCUUACAAUCAUACGGUUUUGCAUCAUCCGAAGAGCAUUCUUUAGCAGAUCUUUGAUUCU
Molecule: long non-coding RNA, 640 nt
Filed under: Solanum tuberosum (potato)
Lineage: Eukaryota; Viridiplantae; Streptophyta; Magnoliopsida; Solanales; Solanaceae
Description: long non-coding RNA (STUB_LNC010529)
Source: RNAcentral